Molecule: long non-coding RNA, 1420 nt
Filed under: Numida meleagris (helmeted guineafowl)
Lineage: Eukaryota; Metazoa; Chordata; Aves; Galliformes; Numididae
Description: lncRNA (ENSNMEG00000017771.1)
Source: RNAcentral
CUAGAAGGCGGCCUGUUUGUCCAAAAUCUUCCAAAAUUCACACGCUGAUGUAUUGCAGUAAUGUGUUUUGUUAAUUGGCAAAAGCAAACAAGGUCAUACUUGUGUAGAGAUAACACAUUCUGAACAUCAUUCUGAAAGUACUGACUUUUGCUUCAGAUCAUGACAGUUACUCCAUUUGUGCCACCUCCGGGACACUGCUGCACCUCUUCUCAAUGGAACCUUCUUUGAAAACAGAUGUGGCCUGAAAAGAUGAAAGGCAUUUUCUUCGCAGUGGUGAGAAAAAAUAGGCUACUUCUCAUGAGUUCUGAGUGUGGAGCAUACUGUGAGAAGAGACAAAAACUCAGAUGUCUUGCCAGUGAAUAUUUUUCUUCUGAAGUAAGACUAUAUCAGGACAACCAUUUCGUGAAAACCUAGUAGCAGGUCUCUUACAGCCUUUCCUGGAAGCUUGCAUUAACAAAUCCUUUUUCCAUGCUUGUUCUGUGUUGCUUCAAAAUUCCAGGCUAGAUAUUCCUGAUAUGGAGAAGCUCCUAGUUACACUGCAGAAGAUCUUGGGUAUAAGGUAAUCCCUUAUUGCCAUUAUUCUGUUGGUUGUUAUAUGGGUCAAUACACUUGGGAACUUUUCUCUUUCUCUUUUUUCAAGAACAAUUAUUCUUUAUGUACAUAGAUGGCAAGACUUCUUAGAAGAAAACUCAUCUUUUCUUUCCUCCAUCCUUCAGUUUUACUGAGGAACUUUGUAAAGAAUCUCUGAAAAUUCACUCUUGCAUGUGACAAUGAAAAUUGACAAAACUCACAUUUUCCACCAAAGCCAAUUUAUAAUUAUUUUAAUUUCAGACUUUUGGGGCAUGUAAAACUUUAUAAUAGGCUUCCACUGAUUAUUAGUUGAUGGUAACAAAGAUCUUCAUUGUGUCUGUGGCAGCAUACUGCUAGGUUUCAUGGGUGUGUUAUUAAUGGGAUUGUUCUGUUUAUAAAAGCAGGCAUAUAAGCUCAGCCAUGGUUUACCAUAGAGUUCAUUAUUUACAAAACUCUGGGAUUUGUUUGAUUUUCCUAGGAACAAAAUUGAGCUCUAGGGAAAAAAAAGUAUUUUCCUGUGAAAUACUCUGGUGUAAAUCAUAAAUUUCACUGGAAGUAAUCUAAAAGUAAAGUUAGCUCAGAAAUCCAGAUUGUUUUUGAUUACUUUUAUAAUUAAAAGACAACCUCACAGCCAGUGCCAUGAGUCUUUAUAACUGGACUUUGAAAUACUCUUGAAAGUAGAUUCUUUAUUGCUGCUUUUGUAGUAUUUCAUUAUUAUAUUUGCCUUGAUAGCAUUCUGGAUUUUCUGUAUGUGUCCCAUUUCUGAAAUCUCGCUUCUCAUUGAGGAAAUCCAGUUACAAUCUUUCCUUAAGCUUUUGCUAUACCAUCUCUAAAUACCACUUAGUCAAGU